Molecule: ribosomal RNA, 401 nt
Filed under: uncultured bacterium
Lineage: Bacteria
Description: bacterial SSU rRNA
Rfam family: Bacterial small subunit ribosomal RNA
Source: RNAcentral
GAAUAUUGGACAAUGGGCGCAAGCCUGAUCCAGCCAUGCCGCGUGCGUGAAGAAGGCCUUAGGGUUGUAAAGCGCUUUCACUGGUGAAGAUGAUGACGGUAGCCAGAGAAGAAGCCCCGGCUAACUCCGUGCCAGCAGCCGCGGUAAUACGGAGGGGGCAAGCGUUGUUCGGAAUUACUGGGCGUAAAGGGCGCGUAGGCGGAACAUUAAGUUAGGGGUGAAAGGCCUGGGCUCAACCUGGGAACGGCCUCUAAGACUGAUGAUCUCGAGUCCGGAAGAGGAUGGAGGAAUUCCCAGUGUAGAGGUGAAAUUCGUAGAUAUUGGGAAGAACACCGGUGGCGAAGGCGGCCAUCUGGUCCGGCACUGACGCUGAGGCGCGAAAGCGUGGGGAGCAAACAGGA